RNAcentral lists this long non-coding RNA (1447 nucleotides) under Durio zibethinus. RNAcentral's name for it is "long non-coding RNA (DZIB_LNC001064)". The record is from RNAcentral. Lineage: Eukaryota; Viridiplantae; Streptophyta; Magnoliopsida; Malvales; Malvaceae.
ACUUAAUUGAAACUAGUUAAGUUAUCCUUAAUGCUCUAGCUCCAAGCCAUGAAGAUGACGUAGGAAGCUAAGUUGCUUUCUAAAUCCUAAAAGAAAGAAGACUGUUCAUCGGCGCUUUCAGUAACUAAAUCAGGUGCGUAAUCAAGCUAAUCUCAUUCCUUAGGAGCUAGAGCAAUAAGAGAUGAAUGAGUUUACUUUUAGUUGAAUACAGGAACUAGUUUUCUUAGCAUAGAUGGAAUGAACUAUCAGAGAAGGCGGAGAGCCUAGCCGAAAGCUUUUUAGUCAAGUACGCAGGAAGAGUUUAUAGGUAGAGGAAGAGGGCAUUCCAUUCCGCAUUCUUUGGCACGAGGGUUUGGCUUCCUUGAUUCAUUCCUUUCUUUGGAAUCGAACUAUCCCUCAAAUGAAGGGAAGGAAGCAAGCAAUUCGGACAGAAGAAAGAGGGCUUGAAAGAAUAAGAUACGUAGAGCGUGAACCAAGGUUCAUAGGCGGAUCAAACUCGAAUCUUGCAGAUCCUAGUUCGCUUACUAAUCGCUUUCGGGACCAGUCUUCAAUGGCAUGAAGCUUGAGUGGCAUAGAAUCUCCUGCCUUAGUCGAAUGAUCGACAGAUGAAAGGAUAACUAUCUGGUGAGGCAUCUGGAUUUUAUUUGGAUUCGGGUCGGUUAAAGCUUGCAAGGGAGUUCGUGGCCUACUAGGAGUUCUGUUUUCUGAGGACUGAUAUGAUAGAACGCCUUAUUAAUUCUACUAUCCUUUCAAGCAAGAGUUUUCUUAGAUUGAUGAAUGAGAAGGAAGAGAGUGAAUAGGGCACAGGAAAUGAAGUCAUCCAGGUUCGGAGCGGGAAGCAUGGGCUGUGAGGCAAUGAAAUUGUUAGCUUUCAUUCAGUCAGCUUGGCUUUGCCAUUUCCUCUCUCAAGCACUACUUGAAAGUGCAAGAUCCAAGACUGAAACAAAUGAAAAAGAAAAACCUCGCAUCAAAGGUUGACUUCUCUGUCGCCGAGUCAGCGCCGAAUCCGCUGCAAGCGAAUGCCUGAAUCAUGGUGUAAAUUCCUUUCUUCAUUCUUCAGUUGAAGCAAGUCAGUCUUUUUUGCUUUCCUUCUCUGUCGGCGGGGUAACUAGAAAAGUACGCAUUCAGCUGUGAAAGACGUUAUUUCCUCAAACGAUUUGAUCCAAGGGAAUGAAACUCUGCCUUUAAAGAAUGGCAUUCUGCUUCAAUGUCGGCGAAGACGCUCUUCUAUGUUAUUUAAUUCGAGGUUGUUUUGAGCCUUUUUUUCUUUUCAUAGGCUUUAAAAGAUUCCUUCAACUAGCCUAUUAAUAUAAUACAGAAUAAACUAUGCCUUUAAAGAAUGGCUUUCAAGUAAACAUGCUAGUGUCACGGGUUAAGCUUUCUCUUAAUGAAGCGAUAGACCGUUUGGCACUUGAAUGGAUGCUUCCACCCAAGUCAGCAAAGGAUA